This 473-nucleotide ribosomal RNA is filed under the name uncultured bacterium. Its description in RNAcentral is "bacterial SSU rRNA". It matches the Rfam family "Bacterial small subunit ribosomal RNA", at positions 917 to 1382 of the family's 1533-position model. The record is from RNAcentral.
GGGCCCGCACAAGCGGUGGAGCAUGUGGCUUAAUUCGAUGCAACGCGAAGAACCUUACCAGGGCUUGACAUGACCAGGACCGCGGCGGAAACGUCGCUUUCCCGCAAGGGACCUGGCCACAGGUGCUGCAUGGCUGUCGUCAGCUCGUGUCGUGAGAUGUCGGGUUAAGUCCCUCAACGAGCGCAACCCCUGUGAAUAGUUGCCAGGGACCGGGCAACCGGUUCGGCACUCUGUUCAGACUGCCCGUGAUAAGCGGGAGGAAGGUGGGGAUGACGUCAAGUCAGUAUGGCCUUUAUGCCCUGGGCUGCACACGUGCUACAAUGGCCGGUACAGAAAGUCGCAAUUCCGCAAGGAGGAGCUAAUCUCGAAAACCGGCCCCAGUUCGGAUUGAAGGCUGCAACUCGCCUUCAUGAAGCCGGAAUCGCUAGUAAUGGCGCAUCAGCUACGGCGCCGUGAAUACGUUCCCGGGCCUU